GAUGAACGCUGGCGGCGUGCCUAAUACAUGCAAGUCGAGCGAACAGACGAGGAGCUUGCUCCUCUGACGUUAGCGGCGGACGGGUGAGUAACACGUGGAUAACCUACCUAUAAGACUGGGAUAACUUCGGGAAACCGGAGCUAAUACCGGAUAAUAUAUUGAACCGCAUGGUUCAAUAGUGAAAGACGGUUUUGCUGUCACUUAUAGAUGGAUCCGCGCCGCAUUAGCUAGUUGGUAAGGUAACGGCUUACCAAGGCAACGAUGCGUAGCCGACCUGAGAGGGUGAUCGGCCACACUGGAACUGAGACACGGUUCAGACUCCUACGGGAGGCAGCAGUAGGGAAUCUUACGCAAUGGGCGAAAGCCUGACGGAGCAACGCCGCGUGAGUGAUGAAGGUCUUCGGAUCGUAAAACUCUGUUAUUAGGGAAGAACAAAUGUGUAAGUAACUAUGCACGUCUUGACGGUACCUAAUCAGAAAGCCACGGCUAACUACGUG
This 497-nucleotide ribosomal RNA is filed under the name uncultured bacterium. RNAcentral's name for it is "partial 16S ribosomal RNA". It matches the Rfam family "Bacterial small subunit ribosomal RNA", at positions 28 to 507 of the family's 1533-position model. The record is from RNAcentral.